Peromyscus eremicus (cactus mouse) is the source of this 1998-nucleotide long non-coding RNA. RefSeq lists it as uncharacterized. The record is from RefSeq and is a predicted model, not a curated record. The transcript is spliced from 3 exons. Lineage: Eukaryota; Metazoa; Chordata; Mammalia; Rodentia; Cricetidae.
AGGGACUUUAACUGCAGAAACUGCAGUAGUCAACUGACAGCCAAGCCUGAGCCUCUGCUGCCACCCAGAGGCUGAUUCGGGCAAGGCAAGCAGGGAGGAGCUGUGUUUGGUGGCUAGCUUACAUUCCAAAGCAUGUGGCUGAGGUGAUGGUGUGCUGAUUGUGUGGCCUUCCAAGCAGGGACAAGACCAGCAUGGUGAAGUCGGAACUACCUAAGUCCCAUGUGUCACAGUGUAUCUUGUCACCGUCUCUGUUUCGGGGGCACUAGCAGCCUGUCUACAGAAGGCAGUCUGGGAGCAGAGGACAUAGAGGUCACCCCUGCAGGAGAAGCUGAGCCGAGCACAAAGGAUACAAGACAACCAGCAGGGCCUAGCACAAGAAGGAACGGGCAUGGACAAAAAGGAGCCCUAAGGAGGUACCCUAGAGUUCUAGGGGAACAGGGUGAGCCGAUCCCCAUCCUUCUGGGGUCCAGGCCUAGGAGACUGGAACUCCUGCUUAUCUCUGAUAAGCCUCCUUAGGGGAACAAGCUUUAGAAGUUUGUCCUGGUUAUCAGAGAAGCUCCCGCCAAAAUAUACUGUGUGACCUUGAGGAAGUUACCUGCGGUCUCUGAUCCUGACUCCUCCUCCAUGAAAUGAGACUUCACAUAAAUGCAAAUCAGUGCUACGUGUGAAGAAGCAUUAGAGCCUUGUGGGUGCAAGCCUCACUGCUGUGUGACUCUGAGCAGGUGACUUGGCCUCUCCGGCCUUCCGUUUCCUCGCUCCUGCUCUCCAUCUCUGUUCAGGCCGUGGCUUUCUAGCUCCUUCUGCAGACCAGCCUCUGCCUGGGCCUGAGUCCUCUCCGAGCCACUCAGGCCUCUGCCCUGCCCCCACCCAAACCCCUUGGAGUCCCAUUAAUUUUGAGAGGUUGUCUGUGUGGACAGCCUCCUGGCCCAGUCUCGGGGCUCUAAGAGCUGUGUAAUUAUCCACUUUGGAGCUGAGGGAAGGUGAUAAGCAGGCCCAGAGGAUCCUGCCCUCCCUGCCUCCCUGCCUUCUACUUCAGCCUAGCUUCCCCAGGGAAGCCAAUCGAUCGUGGAAGGGCCUCUGGAUAAGGGGGUGGGGGGCUUUGUUACUUUCUGGAAAGUCAGAGAGAGGGAAUGCAGGGCUCCCCCUCCAAUCUCCACCAAAUACAGAGGCCACAGGUAGGCCAGAGCAUCCAGUCCACAACAGGCUUCUGAGCCCCUGUCUCCACCUGGGAGCUUCCAGCUGUACUCCAGACCUGCUUGGUCAGCCCCUCUGGACAGCUCCAAGCAUGUUCCCCUUCAAGCCUAGAUGCACCACCCCCUUGCCACCCUUCUCCCUCCUGCCCCCCAAAACUCACUUCCUGAGGCAGCAGGCACCCAGGUCAUCCCCUUGACUAAACAGCCACCAAGUCCCCCAAGGCAUUCCUAAUGACCACCUAGUGCUCAGCUCCUGAGUCCUGCAGGUUACCAGACAGUGGGUCUCUCGGGGACAACUCCAAACCCUGCAAACUGAUUAUCACCUUCCCGCCCUCACCCCAGUCCCCCCUGCUUGUAGGUGACCACAAAACCCCCUUGCUAGUCAUCAAUACCAAAUUUCCCCAUCCCCCUCCUGCCCCACAUACAGCCCAGCUGUCCAAGCUGGGGCAGCCUCUGCCUGUACGUGAUGGGGCAAUCACGUUACCUCCGAGGCUCAGUCUUAUCUCUGCAGUAAGACUGAGCAAAGCCCUGAUGUACGGGCAGGAAGAACGGCCAAACGCACCUGGAGUCCGACUCAAAUGACUACAUGACCAGGCAAGUAGCAGAAAUGACAGCCUUGCAGGGACUAGAAAAUGAAGAGGAAUGCCCCCAGAAGGGGACAUCUGCUGUCACCUCGAGCUAUUGAUGGCACGUGUGAUAGUGUCCCCACCUUGCCAGAGCCUCCAGUCUUCCGGGAGCACCCCCUCCCCUGAAAACCUGUUUUCACCUGGAAUCGCCAGUUUUAAAUUAAACUGUUUCUUGCUCA